RNAcentral lists this transfer RNA (80 nucleotides) under Symbiobacterium thermophilum IAM 14863. RNAcentral describes it as "tRNA-Met". It matches the Rfam family "tRNA". Rfam says of the family: Transfer RNA (tRNA) molecules are approximately 80 nucleotides in length. The record is from RNAcentral. Lineage: Bacteria; Bacillati; Bacillota; Clostridia; Eubacteriales; Symbiobacteriaceae.
CGCGGGGUGGAGCAGCCAGGUAGCUCGUCGGGCUCAUAACCCGGAGGUCGAGGGUUCAAAUCCCUCCCCCGCAACCAGAA